CGGGCGCGCACGCCGAGUGACGCUCGGAGGAGGAAGCGCAACCCCCUUCCCCUCCCUCGCUGCCCCUGGCCCAGCGGGAGCCCCCCCAGUGCGCCUGUGCGGAGGCCUACUUGAUUAUGUGUGCCCUCUCUGGGCUCCAGCGUUAGCCGCCGGGUGGAGAUGGUCUCUAGCGACCGGCCCGUGUCACUGGAGGACGAGGUCUCCCAUAGUAUGAAGGAGAUGAUUGGAGGCUGUUGCGUUUGCUCAGACGAGAGAGGCUGGGCCGAGAACCCGCUGGUUUAUUGCGACGGGCACGGCUGCAGCGUCGCGGUGCAUCAAGCUUGCUAUGGCAUUGUUCAAGUACCCACUGGACCAUGGUUUUGCAGGAAAUGUGAAUCUCAGGAGAGAGCAGCCAGAGUGAGAUGUGAACUGUGUCCUCAUAAGGAUGGAGCUUUAAAAAGAACAGAUAAUGGCGGUUGGGCUCAUGUGGUUUGUGCCCUGUAUAUUCCAGAGGUACAGUUUGCCAAUGUUUCUACAAUGGAACCAAUUGUUUUACAGUCUGUGCCACAUGAUCGUUAUAAUAAGACUUGCUACAUUUGUGAUGAACAAGGAAGAGAAAGCAAAGCAGCCACUGGUGCUUGCAUGACAUGUAAUAAACAUGGAUGUCGACAGGCUUUCCAUGUGACAUGUGCUCAGUUUGCAGGACUACUUUGUGAAGAAGAAGGUAAUGGUGCAGAUAACGUCCAAUACUGUGGCUACUGUAAAUACCAUUUCAGUAAGCUGAAAAAGAGCAAACGGGGAUGUAAUAGGUCAUAUGAUCAAAGUUUAAGUGAUUCUUCCUCUCACUCUCAGGAUAAACAUCAUGAGAAAGAGAAAAAAAAAUAUAAAGAAAAGGACAAACACAAACAAAAACACAAGAAGCAACCAGAACCAUCACCUGCAUUGGUUCCUUCCUUGACUGUUACUACAGAAAAAACUUAUACAAGCACUAGCAGCAACUCUAUAUCUGGAUCAUUGAAGCGUUUGGAAGAUACUGCAGCACGAUUUACAAAUGCAAAUUUCCAGGAAGUCUCUGCGCACACUACUAGUGCAAAAGAUGUUUCAGAGGCUAGAGGGUCAGAGGGCAAAGGGAAGAAAUCUUCAGCUCACAGCUCAGGUCAAAGGGGAAGAAAGCCUGGUGGAAGAAAUCCAGGAACGACUGUAUCAGCAGCUAGUCCUUUCCAGCAAGGCAGUUUUUCAGGAACUCCAGGCAGUGUAAAAUCAUCUUCGGGAAGUUCAGUACAGUCUCCCCAGGAUUUCUUGAGCUUUACAGACUCAGAUCUGCGUAAUGACAGUUACACUCACUCCCAACAGUCAUCAUCAACCAAAGAUGUACAUAAAGGAGAGUCUGGAAGCCAGGAAGGGGGGGUAAAUAGUUUUAGUUCCAUAAUUGGUCUCCCUUCAACCUCAGCUGUUAUUCCGCAGCCUAAAAGCUUUGAAAAUUCACCUGGAGAUUUGGGUAAUUCCAGCCUUCCUACAGCAGGAUAUAAGCGGGCUCAAACUUCUGGCAUAGAAGAAGAAACUGUAAAGGAAAAGAAAAGAAAAGGAAAUAAGCAAAGUAAGCAUGGGCCUGGUAGACCCAAAGGCAACAAAAGUCAAGAGAAUGUUUCUCAUCUCUCAGUUUCUUCUGCUUCACCAACGUCAUCUGUAGCGUCAGCUGCAGGAAGUGUAACCAGCUCUAGUCUCCAGAAAUCCCCCACGCCGCUCAGGAAUGGGAGUGUGCAGAGUCUUAGUGUGGGCUCCUCUCCACUUGGUUCAGAAAUUUCCAUGCAGUAUCGGCAUGAUGGAGCUUGUCCAACAACUACUUUCUCAGAGUUGCUGAAUGCAAUACACAAUGGUAUUUAUAGCAGCAGUGAUGUAGCAGUAUCAUUUCCAAAUGUAGCAUCUGGCUCAGGAUCGAGUACUCCUGUCUCCAGUUCUCAUUUACCUCAGCAACCUUCUGGGCAUUUACAGCAAGUGGGAGCGCUCUCCCCGUCUGCUGGGUCAUCUGCACCCUCUGCUGUUGCUACAACUCAGGCAAAUACUCUAGCUGGAUCUUCUCUUAGUCAGGCAUCAUCUCAUAUAUAUGGCAAUAGAUUAAAUCCAAAUUCAUCAAUGGCAGCUCUUAUAGCUCAGUCUGAAAAUAAUCAAACAGAUCAAGAACUCGGAGACAAUAGCCGCAGCCUUGGUGGCAGAGGAAGCUCACCUAGAGGGAGUCUCUCACCAAGGUCCCCUGUAAGUAGCUUACAGAUCCGCUAUGAUCAACCAGGCAACAGCAGUUUGGAAAACCUGCCCCCAGUAGCAGCCAGCAUAGAGCAGCUUCUGGAGAGGCAGUGGAGUGAAGGACAGCAGUUUUUAUUAGAACAGGGCACUCCUAGUGACAUUUUAGGAAUGCUGAAGUCAUUACACCAACUUCAAGUAGAAAAUCGAAGAUUAGAGGAACAGAUUAAAAACUUGACUGCCAAAAAAGAACGCCUUCAAUUAUUGAAUGCACAGCUCUCAGUGCCUUUUCCAACAAUAACAACAAAUCCCAGCCCAUCUCAUCAAAUGCAUGCAUUUUCAGCACAGAAUGCUCCUACUACUGAUUCCUUGAACAGCAGUAAGAGCCCUCAUCUAGGAAACAGCUUUCUACCUGAUAAUUCUCUUCCUGUAUUAAAUCAGGACUUAACCUCCAGUGGACAGAGCACCAGCAGCUCCUCGGCUCUCUCUACUCCCCCUCCUGCGGGGCAGAGUCCAGCCCAGCAGGGCUCAGGCCUUAGUGGAGUUCAGCAGGUCAAUGGUGUGACAGUGGGGGCACUGGCCAGUGGAAUGCAGACUGUGACAUCCACCAUUCCUGCCGUGCCUGGAGUGGGUGGAAUAAUUGGAGCUUUGCCAGGUAACCAACUGGCAAUUAAUGGCAUUGUAGGAGCUUUAAAUGGGGUUAUUCAGACCCCUGUCACAAUAUCUCAGAACCCUACCCCCCUCACCCACACAACUGUACCACCUAAUGCAGCACAUCCAAUGCCAACUACACUGACUAACAGUGCCUCAGGACUAGGAUUACUUUCUGACCAGCAAAGACAAAUAUUUCUUCAUCAACAGCAAUUCCAGCAGUUGUUAAAUUCGCAGCAGCUCACACCAGAGCAGCACCAGGCCCUUCUGUAUCAGCUGGUGCAGCAGCACCACCAGCCUGAUCUCCAGCAGCUGCAGAUCCCGGCACCCACGCAGAUGCCCAUCAACAACCUGCUCGCAGGCACGCAGGCGCCUCCGCUUCAUCCAGCCACCACCAACCCGUUCCUCACCAUCCAUGGCGAUAAUGCAAGUCAAAAGGUCUACUUUACUGGAGUAUAAAUGUUUCCCCUAAAUUCCAGUUCAGGGCAGAACCCUGUUAGAGGAAGGAUAUUGGGAUAUAGAAUGGAGACUGGACAUCAGGAAAAGGAAGAAGGGAAAGAAUGAGAGACUUAGUGAUAAAACUGGGCCUGUUGCUCAAGAAAAAAGUUGACACUUGAGAAACAUCUAGAAAUGGACUAUCCUGCUGCUCUAGCACUUCAUCUGGCUGCUGUUGCAGUCCCCUUACUACACCUAUGAAGAAAUGCAACAAGAAACCAGCUGCACGACAAAGGAUUAAUUGCCCCAAGAGCAUUCUUGUAAGGCUUUGAUUGAUUUUCUUGUUGCUUUGUUGCACUGAAAUGGAAUUCCCAUAUCCCCCACCCCUCACCCACAUUUUUUGAAUUUUGAAAGAAAAUUUAAUAGCUAACUUUUGUCAUUGAAAUAAUUUACAUGCAAUGAGUUUAUCAGCCUAAGGGAAAUUUAAUAUAGUUGGUAUACAACUAAUUUUGUUAUAAAUUGGAGAGAUG
Molecule: RNA transcript, 3833 nt
Organism: Eubalaena glacialis (North Atlantic right whale)
Lineage: Eukaryota; Metazoa; Chordata; Mammalia; Artiodactyla; Balaenidae
Gene: MLLT10
Gene name: MLLT10 histone lysine methyltransferase DOT1L cofactor
Exons: 24
Source: RefSeq, a predicted model, not a curated record